This 29-nucleotide small RNA is filed under the name Bombyx mori (domestic silkworm). RNAcentral describes it as "piRNA piR-bmo-1994814". The record is from RNAcentral. Lineage: Eukaryota; Metazoa; Arthropoda; Insecta; Lepidoptera; Bombycidae.
UAUCAUCGUCACGAUGUACUGGUAUCCGC